CAACUUUUAACGGUGGAUCUCUUGGCUCGUGCAUCGAUGAAGAACGCAGCCAGGUGCGAUAAGUAGUGUGAAUUGCAGAAUUCAGUGAAUCAUCGAAUCUUUGAACGCAAAUGGCG
This 116-nucleotide ribosomal RNA is filed under the name Stichopathes cf. occidentalis MRB-2010. RNAcentral's name for it is "partial 5.8S ribosomal RNA". It matches the Rfam family "5.8S ribosomal RNA", at positions 1 to 115 of the family's 154-position model. Rfam says of the family: 5.8S ribosomal RNA (5.8S rRNA) is a component of the large subunit of the eukaryotic ribosome. It is transcribed by RNA polymerase I as part of the 45S precursor that also contains 18S and 28S rRNA. Functionally, it is thought that 5.8S rRNA may be involved in ribosome translocation. Lineage: Eukaryota; Metazoa; Cnidaria; Anthozoa; Antipatharia; Antipathidae. The record is from RNAcentral.